GUUUUUAUAGUUAAAUUAUAACGGUGGUUUUUCAAGCCAUUAGUCCUGGUUAAAAUCCUGGUAAAAACU
This 69-nucleotide transfer RNA is filed under the name Hippocampus spinosissimus (hedgehog seahorse). RNAcentral's name for it is "tRNA-Glu". It matches the Rfam family "tRNA". Rfam says of the family: Transfer RNA (tRNA) molecules are approximately 80 nucleotides in length. Their secondary structure includes four short double-helical elements and three loops (D, anti-codon, and T loops). Lineage: Eukaryota; Metazoa; Chordata; Actinopteri; Syngnathiformes; Syngnathidae. RNAcentral also lists the same sequence under 1 other name. The record is from RNAcentral.